RNAcentral lists this unclassified non-coding RNA (412 nucleotides) under soil metagenome. RNAcentral describes it as "partial contains 5.8S ribosomal RNA, internal transcribed spacer 2, and large subunit ribosomal RNA". The stretch from base 1 to 120 matches the Rfam family "5.8S ribosomal RNA", at positions 35 to 154 of the family's 154-position model. The record is from RNAcentral.
GAUGAAGAACGCAGCGAAAUGCGAUACGUAGUGUGAAUUGCAGAAUUCCGUGAACCAUCAAAUCUUUGAACGCAUAUUGCGCUCGAGGCUUCGGCCGAGAGCAUGUCUGCCUCAGCGUCGGUAUUACCCUUCGCUUCUCAACCCCUGGUUGAUGCCUGCCUGCCUUUGCAGUUGGCUAGAAGCGGAUCUGGCUUUCCCAUUUGCCUUUGGUAGUUGGGUCAGCUGAAGCACAGAGGCUUGAGCAAGGACCCUUAUUGGGCUUCAACUGGAUAGGUAGAACUGGUCUUAGGACCAACUACACGAAGUUGUUGCUUGUGGUCUUUGUCUGGAGGCCAGCAGGAAACCUUUAUACCUUCGACCUGAGCUCAGGCAAGAUUACCCGCUGAACUUAAGCAUAUCAAUAAGCGGAGGA